GUCGAACGGUGAAGCCCUUCGGGGUGGAUCAGUGGCGAACGGGUGAGUAACACGUGGGCAAUCUGCCCUGCACUCUGGGACAAGCCCUGGAAACGGGGUCUAAUACCGGAUACGACCUUCCUCCGCAUGGGGGUUGGUGGAAAGCUCCGGCGGUGCAGGAUGAGCCCGCGGCCUAUCAGCUUGUUGGUGGGGUAAUGGCCUACCAAGGCGACGACGGGUAGCCGGCCUGAGAGGGCGACCGGCCACACUGGGACUGAGACACGGCCCAGACUCCUACGGGAGGCAGCAGUGGGGAAUAUUGCACAAUGGGCGAAAGCCUGAUGCAGCGACGCCGCGUGAGGGACGACGGCCUUCGGGUUGUAAACCUCUUUCAGCAGGGAAGAAGCGCAAGUGACGGUACCUGCAGAAGAAGCACCGGCUAACUACGUGCCAGCAGCCGCGGUAAUACGUAGGGUGCGAGCGUUGUCCGGAAUUAUUGGGCGUAAAGAGCUCGUAGGCGGCCUGUCGCGUCGGAUGUGAAAGCCCGGGGCUUAACCCCGGGUCUGCAUUCGAUACGGGCAGGCUAGAGUGUGGUAGGGGAG
This 581-nucleotide ribosomal RNA is filed under the name Streptomyces sp. CL25. Its description in RNAcentral is "bacterial SSU rRNA". It matches the Rfam family "Bacterial small subunit ribosomal RNA", at positions 61 to 659 of the family's 1533-position model. Lineage: Bacteria; Bacillati; Actinomycetota; Actinomycetes; Kitasatosporales; Streptomycetaceae. The record is from RNAcentral.